Molecule: transfer RNA, 74 nt
Filed under: Micrococcaceae bacterium RIT 802
Lineage: Bacteria; Bacillati; Actinomycetota; Actinomycetes; Micrococcales; Micrococcaceae
Description: tRNA-Arg
Rfam family: tRNA
About the family: Transfer RNA (tRNA) molecules are approximately 80 nucleotides in length.
Source: RNAcentral
GCCCCUGUAGCUCAGUCGGAUAGAGCGACCCUCUCCUAAAGGGUAGGCCAUCGGUUCGAUUCCGGUCAGGGGCA